CAUGCAAGUCAUACGAGAGUUUUUAACUCAAGUGGCGGACGGGUGAGUAACACGUAAGAAUUUACCUUUAGGAGGGGGAUAACAACGAGAAAUUGUUGCUAAUACCCCAUAUGCUUUCGAGUGAAAUGGAUUUUUCCGCCUAGAGAGAAGCUUGCGCCUGAUUAGCUUGUUGGUAAGGUAAUGGCUUACCAAGGCGACGAUCAGUAUCUGGUUUGAGAGGAUGAUCAGACACACUGGAACUGAGACACGGUCCAGACUCCUACGGGAGGCAGCAGUGGGGAAUUUUCCGCAAUGGGCGAAAGCCUGACGGAGCAAUCUCGCGUGAGGGAUGACGGCCUAUGGGUUGUAAACCUCUUUUUUCAGGGAGGAAUAAAAUGACGUGUACCUGAAGAAUAAGCAUCGGCUAACUCCGUGCCAGCAGCCGCGGUAAGACGGAGGAUGCAAGUGUUAUCCGGAAUCACUGGGCGUAAAGCGUCUGUAGGUGGUUUAGUAAGUCAACUGUUAAAUCUUGGAGCUUAACUUCAAAAUCGCAGUCGAAACUGCUAGACUAGAGUAUAGUAGGGGUAAAGGGAAUUUCCAGUGGAGCGGUGAAAUGCGUAGAGAUUGGAAAGAACACCGAUGGCGAAGGCACUUUACUGGGCUAUUACUGACA
RNAcentral lists this ribosomal RNA (652 nucleotides) under uncultured bacterium. RNAcentral's name for it is "bacterial SSU rRNA". It matches the Rfam family "Bacterial small subunit ribosomal RNA", at positions 54 to 745 of the family's 1533-position model. The record is from RNAcentral.